GCAUGCCCGUGCAACGUGGCCUCUGCCCGAACCGACCCUGGCGUACUUCCCCAACGCCAGGUUCGUGCCUUCGGACAGGGACCUCGGUGCAGGGGCGUCCCGCC
Molecule: non-coding RNA, 104 nt
Organism: Mycobacterium parmense
Lineage: Bacteria; Bacillati; Actinomycetota; Actinomycetes; Mycobacteriales; Mycobacteriaceae
Source: Rfam